This 900-nucleotide unclassified non-coding RNA is filed under the name Hevea brasiliensis (rubber tree). The record is from RNAcentral. Lineage: Eukaryota; Viridiplantae; Streptophyta; Magnoliopsida; Malpighiales; Euphorbiaceae.
GAAAACUCUCCCUUUUCUGCUUUUGCCUCUGUCCACUCAUCAAUAUCUUAUUCCUUCUUCACUACACUGCAAUUCUGCAAUUCCAGUCAUAGGAAGAAAAAGAAAAAUAAAGUAUCAAACAAGCGGCCAAUCUCUCUCAAACCAUGCACACACACACGUGAUUAGUUUCUCGUUCAAUGUAACACAAUGGAUCUUUAUCUUCUAUUUUAUUUUUUAAUUAAUUUUUUUGGUAUUUUUCUGCCUACCCAUGUCCAAAAUCACUGCUUUUCCCCCCUCUGUGGACCCACAAAGACCAGAAGAGCAAUCCUGACAGAAAGCUUGUUGCUUUGAUAAUGGCUUGGAAAAAUCAAACACUCCCCCUUUCCACCACUUGGCCAAACUUCUCGUCUACAGCUGCAGGCCAAUGAGAAAUUUGUUACACAGACUUGGUAACAAUGAUUCGUCUAUCUACGGUAACAGGUCAAGUUUUUGUUGGAUCUUGAGGUGAGAUUAUGUUGGGAUGCUUUCAUCUCACCAAGAAGGCAGAUGAAACAAAGAGAAGCAUACACAGAGGUCACAAUUGAUAACCUGGAAGUCGAGUGUGAUUUCAUUCCCUCCAAAUGCUUCCUGCCAAACCAGCUUCCACAUGUCGUCCACCGAAACAUGGUCCCAAUCAUGUGAAUUUGAUGCCACAAAAACCAUAGCCGCGUUCUAAGAUGCUAUCCAUCAGACCAAGCUAAGCCUGGCCGCGGGUCUGGUUUGAGCCGGUUCUGAUUUGAAUAAGGGGAGACUGAAACCGAGACCGGACCAGCUAAGAUCGGUUCUUAAUGGUUCUAGUCCUCAGAGUUCCGGUUCAGUCAAAGCUAACUGCAGUUCUGAUGUUAUAAGUUUGAAUUAUGUUCGAUUCCCAUUUUGAACCGG